Neofelis nebulosa (Clouded leopard) is the source of this 11429-nucleotide long non-coding RNA. RefSeq lists it as uncharacterized. The transcript is spliced from 8 exons. Lineage: Eukaryota; Metazoa; Chordata; Mammalia; Carnivora; Felidae. The record is from RefSeq and is a predicted model, not a curated record.
CUCCUGGAAGGCGACCACCACGUACGGGGUCUUCUCGGCUGACUUCGCCAUGAUCUCGGCCAUGUUGAACGUCUCCGGGACCUUCUCCAGGAUCUCCUCCAGCACGGCCUUCACCUAGAGGUUUUGGGCCCCGCCCCUUCUCUGCCGCUGGGCGCCGUGUUGAGACUCCUGCCUUCUCCUCCCGAGAUACUCCGGUGCCUGCUCCUGAGUCGGUCUCUUUGGGCUGCAUUUCCAGGACCGUGCGGAACAGUUUCUCUGAGGUGACUGUCAGAAAGCCGAUCUCUGCAUUGGGGUGCAGGCCGUACAGGUAGGGACUCUCGGGGGGCAGGUUCUCAUUGAUGUACUCGUGGUAACCCUGCAGAGGGGCGGUCGGUGAACAGGGCUGCCAAGGAACCUGUGUCUGCCGUAGACGAAGCAUUUCUGACCAGAAUGUUCCGCCCACGCCUUGCCCUCUGUACCAACCCCACUGGUUCUCUAACCCCCCCCACCCCAGCCACAUGAACGAAGCCUCCACGCCCCCUCCCCAGAGGCUGUGUUUCAAGCCGUCCCGGCCUUCUUGCUCAAUCGCUGAUACUCUGUCUGUGACGCCAGGCUGGCCCCCCGGAGCCGGCCAGGACAGACAGCAUUGCCCUUUGCUGCUGUUGCGUCACAGGGUACGUCCUGCAGAGCCGGCGGUCCCAGUCGUCCGUGAUGUGGCCGCCGUACAUGAUUUCUCCAAACAAGUAGCGUAGGUCGUCCCAGGGCACCUUAGGAAGGACGGAGGCGGUGAGGAGAAGUACCCCCUGCCCCAUUGGGGUUGGUAAGAACCGACAGUCGGCCAUCAGUGUGAGGUGAGGGCCGGCUCCUCCUGUCACCCCGUCGCCGCCCUGUCCGCUGCUCCGCAGGGUUACCAGGCCUCCCCUCCCGCCCCCCGCCCCGGCGGUGUCUCACCCGGAGGCCCGCCCCUCCUUGGCGGGAUCCCGCCUUCUCUGGCAAGGGCUGCCCAGCGGCUCCCCUCCGCCCACAGCCUGGCCUCUGUGUCCCAGGACGUCCCGCUCCGAGGCCUGCCCUGCAGCCCCAACUUGUGCCCUCGCUCGGGCCACCCUUGUGACCCCCUGCUCGGAAACGUGCAGCCACCCUUGACUCCUGACCAGAGCGGUUUAAUUCUGUGCUGACUGGGGGUGUGGACGCUCGGGUGCCGUUUCUGUUGGCCAGUCGGUCUGUGCAGUGUGUCCAUCCAGUGGGUCUUUCUUGCCGUCCCGCUGGGCUUGCCUGGCGCCGAGUUUCCCGGCUCGUCGCUCCUCGUGCUGCGUGUGCCCCGCGGGGCUUUGCAGCACCGGGAGCUUCAGCAGGGGAGCUCACCUGCCCAACCUGGGGCGUCUGACCUUAUGCUCAGCCCGGAACGCUCCUUUCCGCCGCCACUCACCAAGGCGACACCCGACUUCCGAAGCCAGCUCAAAUGCCGCCUCCUCCGGGAAGCCAGCAGGGGGUCGACGCCUGGGGAAAGGAUGAAGAAUAUCGGCGUGGAGGGGCUGCUCUCCUCGUAGGACUUGGAAAACUCAACGCUCCGGCCCUCCACAAAUUUGCUGCCCAUCUUCUCUUCCACGAAGUUCCUGAGGGAGACGCACUGGUCGGCCCCGAAGGCAGAGGGGGACAGGGUGGGCUGUGACCCCAGGGGGAAGGGCCAUUUCUUAGUAGGCUUUCUAAGGCAUAGGAUGUCCCUGGCCGGAAGGCAGUCCUUGCGGGGGCUUUCCUCGUUGCAGGGAGAGGGUGUGGAGGGGGAGCAGGUGCUGGCACCCCCUGUCUCUGCCCGGCCCUGCAGGGCACACUUCCCUGGAGAGGCCUGCAUGCGAGCAGGUGAGGCCAUGUCACACGGCCCAUUUUCAGAGGCUCCCAGGUCACCUGGGGGUGGGGUGGGGACACAAGCCCCAGUGGGGCCACAACCCAGGACAUCGCAGGUGAGCACGCCCCGGUGCCAGGAGGCCCCUGGGUCCUUCGAGCCCUCUGUGCCCCCAAGGAAGGGGUCAGGUCAAGUUCUCUGCUCCAGCAAGGGCGGCAAGAAGAACACAGAUGGGGCUCUGUGUCCUGGCGGUCCCCCGACCAGGGGUUGAGGAGGAAGGAUGGUCACAUCGUAGCCAUUUUGGUGAACUUCAAGGACCACAAAACAUGGUUCAUCAGAAAAAUCACAGGGGAAAAAAAAAAAAAAAGGAAUGUACAUCAAUACCUCUCUUCACAAAAGCACUUCUUUGUUCCAAGUCCCAAACUGUCUUUCUUGACCCUCAGAAGUCUGGGGUCCAUCGAGGCCCCUCUCAUGGGAGAUCUAGUGUUCUUUGUGGUGACCUUUGGAUCUCGCUCUGCCCUUCUCCCUGCAUCACCGAUGGCUGAGCUUACUGUAUUCUCAAUGAGUCACAGGAGCUAAAAUGCUAGGAUUCAGUGUCUUUAGAAGAAGCAAGUCAGUCCGAAAGAACAGUGGGAGAGGAGGUGCUCGCUCUCAAGCAGCCGGCCAUCUGGAUGCUCUGUCCUCAUCUUGGAGGACCGUCAGGUGGCCUCUUGGUGGCCUGCUCACUUGGAGGCCACCCCACGCCCUCUGACUCCUUCCCUCUGACUCCGUGGGGAACCUCGGAGGCUCAGGACUUUCCAGGGACACUUUUACAGUGUUCACCCCCUGCUCUGGCCUUCGCUGGCUUCUGUGCAGUUUCCCAAACUGACGCUGGCUCCUGGCCAGGAGGGGCGGGGGGGGGGCGGGGGCACGCCUUCCGAAGGCGUCCAGUUGUCCUCGAUUCCGGCCUUUGGAUCUGGCUGGGAAUGUGGAUGCUAGGAUCCUUGUCCAGGAAGGACUUCUGGAACGUAGGCAGGAAUGUCACUAAAUCACGGUUACUAAUGAUGUGGCCAGGCCACGUGGUCAUCCUCUGCUGGUGAAUUAACGAUGAACGGCGCACACUGGUUCCUGAUGGGCUCCGCCACUCUGGGUGCCGAGUCCUUGGCAGAGGAUUGCGGGAGCCCGCUCCCAGCCGCGACAGCCACAGUGGAGAAGCCACAUCACAGAAACUGCUGCAAACCAGGGCCUUUGUUGGGAGCGAUGUUUGCCGGCACCCCCACCCCCAGGUGCCGCCCUCUCUGGGCCAGUGAGCCUCGGGCCACGGGGGGGGCCCCCCCGAGUGAGCUCAUGCUUUGAAUGGUGCCUGGCACACAGUAUGCCCUCGAUGAGUGCUGCUGUUUUUCGCUGUGGAUUUGAAUUCCCUUGCUUUUAAGCUGCACUGCUUCUCUAGACCCAGGGACACUGCAGAAACGUCACAGCGGGAUUUGGGUUCACCUGGUGUUUGGGGCCGCCCAGGCCCCUGCAAGGUGCAGACGCUCAUGGGGUCCGAGUUCCUUCCUUCGUGACACCGUAUCGUGCCAUGUUGGAGAGUGGGCGCAGGUGGUGACUCACCACAGUGCUCUGGAGGCAGCCAGCGGGGACGCCCGAAUAUGUCCAGCUCCCCCAGGGGGCCGUGUGCCCGCUGUGCUGGCCGGGUGUGCGUCCUUCACCCUGACCUUUCCCGGACUUUGUUCCAACUUCUUCCAGCACGUGACGGGGAUUUCUUGUUUCUGUCUGGCCCCUUCCUGCCCUGCCCGUGAGCCCCCAGCAAACAGCAAAACAGAAAUGUCUGUGAACAGCCAGUGGCAGAGUCCGGCCGCUGCUUUGGUUGGAGGGGAGUUCUGUUAGGGACGCAGGCACCGUUUGGGGAAUCUGGCUGCUUUUGGGCUCUGCUAGGACAAACAAAAGGCAAAGACACCAUAAUGUGUCAUGUCGGAGAACAGACACUGAGCUUGGUUCCUUGUCUGCUCUGUCCUCCCUCCUUCUGGUGGCAUCUCCAUCCUCCCCGGUCGCCCUGGUGGGCAGGAGGGAAGUCCUCUCCGCUCCAGGGGAGGGUGGAUGGGACAUCUCAGGAGUCACCCGUGGGGGAUCGGUGCAGGUGUUCUGUGACGUUGUGGCUCCUGGAGCCUUUCUGCGAGAGGACAGUCCCAGCAGGGGCGUGAACGGGAUGGCUUGCCGAAAGGCCAUGGUGAUUAGUUUUCCAAUCGUGCAGAUGUUUCGGGGGCAGAUAAAUUAUUCACGAAAUUGGAACAGUUCUCUCUGCAAAGGAGCCAAAACUGAGGAAAAGAUUGAGCUUCAGUUUAGCCAGUGAGGGCAUCAAAGUCCUGGGGUGCUGAUGGCUGUGCCACUGUUCCCACUGCAUCUUAAAAGGACUCUGUGUGGCCCCAGAGCCAUUAACGCCCACACUUUGAAGAAUCUUGACGGCUCAGGUGGGGUGUCCUGUUUCCCCAUCACUUGUGCCUCAGGCUGGCAGGAGGAGGGGGCGGAGCGCCAGUGGGCGGGGUCCCCGUCCCUCCCACCCCCCCACAGGGUGGGGCCACAGGCAGCUCCUCCCCCACCCCGGGCGCCACGCCCACCUGACGGCGUAGGUCAUGCGGUCCGGCCGCAGGCAUCUCAGCACGCACAGCUUUUGCAGCGCAGUUUUGUUCUUCCACUCCUUGGGGAAGAUCUCCUUCUCCGGGGCUUCUGACUCCACCAGCUUCUUCCACCGCUUGGCGGACCCUUCGAUGUCGCCGUCCAGGUUCUUGAACUCAUCCAUCUCCGACAGGGCCUGGGGGCAGAUGGCCUUUCAGCUCCCCGGGGGCUGGCGGAGGGUGGGCCGCCUGGCUCGGCCCUGAAAGGAGCCGCUGGCUCCACUGUGGGCCCCGGAUAGAACCACGGAGCGCAUGACCCGGGGCCGGCCUCCUCCCCCCAGAGGCCUGUGGGACUGGGGCCGCUCCCACCGCAGGGGAACGGAGACCCCCGGGGCCCCUGAGUGCGUGUGCCCGGAAUCGGAGGAGCUUCCUUGGCCCUUUGCACUCAGCCAGAACGGGAGGUAGGGGUUGGUGGUGGAGGGGCCGCCCCGCCCGUGGCUCAGCCUGCGGGGUGCAGGCAGGGCUGUGUGCGGGUCGUAAGGACCACCGGGUUCAGACAGGAAAGUAGAGUUUCCUGCGAGCCGGCAGGUAGCCCUCUGCACCCCGGCCCCUCCUCCGGGGUCCGCUCCCCGCCCCGUUUCGCUGAAUGAUGUCCGCCUUGUAAACGUCCCCAGCGUGAGCCCCAGGGGCUGGGCGGCAGAGAGGGGACGCAGUGCUGGGGCCCGCAGCCCACCUUGAUGCCGCCCCAUCCCUGGUGCUGCAGGAAGUCCACCGGCGACAGGACCCCGGCCUUGAAAGGGAACCGCAGGAGGAAAUCCAGCUCUGCUGGGUUCAGCUCUUUCUUCAUGGACAAGACCUGGGGGGACAGGGGGGCCGCUCAGACGUCACCCCACAGCAGGCCAGGGCGGCCGCCAGCCCCUGGCAGGAGCACCUGGGACCUCGGUGGCGGACGUACAGACAGACCCAGGGCAGGCCGAGGAGCUCACACCCCUGGCCCGUCCUGCCCUCUGGGUCCGGCCAAGACUUUCUUUUCACCUUGACUUGUUGAUUUUUUAAAUUGUGGUAAAACACACAGGACACAAAAUGUACCGCCUUACCCCUAUUAAGGCGUAAAAUUUUCGUAAAAUCGUAUCACCUCUAUCUAGAAGCAGAGCUUUCUCUUCUUCUCAAAGGGAACCCCUGACCCUGUGCACAGCACCCACCCCCCCCCCCCCCCCACAGCCGGGGCCACUGGUGACCCCAGGGUCUAUGCUCUGUGUGGAUCUGCCCGUGCAGUGGAAUUCUGCAGAUGUGGCCCGCUCCCGUCAGCUUCUCUCACUCUGUCCUCCAGGUUCACCCACGUUGUAGCCAAAUGAUGUUCCGUCGUCGUGUGGAGAGACCACGUGUGGUUUAUCCACUCAUCCUCUGAUGGACGUUUGGGCCACAUCCACCUCGUGGCGAUUAUCAGCAGAGCUGCUGUGUUCGUAUACAAGUCAGUUCUUUGGGACACGUACAUCUCCGGUACGUAUACACAUACGUUUCGGGACGGGGAAUUUUCUGGGUCCUAGUCCGUGUCGCCUUGUCACGCGUGCCCACCAGCUCUGUGGGCGCCCAGCAGGCCGGGUCUCGGCCCUUGAGAGGUGGCUCGGCCCACUCCGUCCAUCUGGCCGGGGAGGUGGGGCCGCGGUCACUGCAGCGCCACGGACGGACGCCCGCGCAGCUCCUCUCCGACGCCACGGAGCAGAGUUUCACCCGAGUCAGACCCUCUCUCUCUUUUUCUUUCUGUCUCUUGGUCAGAAGAGAAACUCCUUUGGAAAUUUAGGGCGCGCAUCAAGUAUCCUGCUGCCCCCUCGGCGGGGAGAAAGCGCACGCCGGGCCUGCCGCUCAGGAACUCAUGCAGGUGAAGGAAAACCUCUUCGACCUGGACCCUGACUUGUAGUUUGAGUUUGGAAGGGAAGCAAACUUCCAGAAGCUAUCUAGAAAUUCGUGUUUUCUGCCACACCCAUGAGACCGUGAACCAGAGGGUAGAGGGGCUGUUUGAUCGAUUUAAUGGAACAAUUUAAUGGCUGUUUGGUCAAUUUCAGCGGGUCUGUCUGUAUGAACAGGAGAACUAUUUAUCCGUCAGUAUCUUUACUUCCUUAAGAGAUAGCGUUCGGCGUCCACGGUGGUUAUCCGCCCGCUGGCGCAGGACUGCUCGCUCGGCAUUAACGUAAAUGCGGUGAGAGUGAUGGGUCUUUGUAGAAUUCUGUUUAACGGACCUCCCCUCCAGUGGUUGCCACCUUACAACCGGGCCCCGUGUCAACAGAACCCCAAGCAGGUCCCCCAGCAUCGUUCGAUGACUCCAACGAACGCCAUCACCCGGGAAUCUGCGUUGCGGACCACACUUCGAGAAGGGAGGCCAGACUUGCCUGGAAGGCCACCUGGGCCAGGAAGAUGAGUUUGUCCCGUUCGAAGAGCCCGCGGGCCGUGUACAUGUAGACAGAUGACCGGGGGAGGCGGCCCCCCACGGAGGCGGCCGUGCGCGCUCACCUUCUCCUCGAUCUCACUGGCUGUGUGCUUGGUGGUCUCCAGAUUCUCCACUAAGGCUGUGUCCCCCAGGAAGUUCCCCGACGCCGCCGACAGACGGGCCAGCAGGGAAUCUUCCAGCUCUUUCAGAACAAUCUUGAAUUCAUUUUGAGACUUGGUGAGGUUGGCCUGCAGGAGGGAAAGACCGCGGGGCUGGGGGGCGGGCUCAGGCAACGGCCGGCGCUGCCCCCACCGCUCAGCUGAGGCCCCAGCACGGACGGGAGAAGCCUGAGCCUGUCCUGGGCAGCCGUGUGUGGCCAGGGAGCAGGGCCUGGGACCGCUCUGAGCCCGCUCUGACCACGCACAGGGGCCGGCCGCAAAGGCCAUGCUGGUGGGGCAGCGGUUUGGCGCAUGGGGCCGUCUGGGCACCGCUGAGGCUCCUCUGCCGUCAGUGAAUUAGUCGUCUGGUCUGGAAUUCGGUUUGGGAGGCCGCCGGGGAGGAAGAGCGGCUCGUUCUGGUGCACCUAAUGCCAUCGGUGCGACAGGCUGGGAUGCUUUGGGGCGGCCGCUGCUGGGUCAGGGAACCUCGCUGUGACUGAACAGCCCGCCCCGAGCCACGUGGGGCUGACGUCAGGCCCCGGUACCUUCAGCUGCUCGAGAUCCGGGCGCUCCUUGGCCACCACGGCAGCCAGGAGUUGGUCCUCGAGCCCGUCCCUGGUGACCAGGAAGUUGAUGAGGGUGCACUGGGCUUGCACCUCGGGCUUGUAGUGCGGGUUGAAGUACUUGGUGUGCAGGAUGAGGCGGAACUUGGGGUGAUACUCCACCUCCUUGUCGCCAAUCUUAAUGAACCUGGCCGUUAGGGGAGGCAGGUUAGAGCUGUGGUAUCACCCACAGAGACCACCUCCCAUAGCAGCCUGGCGGCCCCCUUGCCCCGGGCCCCACUGCCACCACCAACCCUCCUCGGGUCACCAGGAAAGGGCUGUGUCUCUGCUUGUUCCAGUCUUUCUCUCUGGCCUGUGGUCAGGACCUUCUAGAAGGUGCACCUGCUCUCUCUCUGGCUGGUUUGUGCCGAUCUUUAUAGCGGGGAUCGCGGGGCUUGGUCAACUCUAGUGACACUUUGUACUCACCCGGGAGCUGGCCCAGAACUACUCUCCCUGGGCCCCACCCCAGAGCCACGAACACCAGAAGGACGCUGACGUCCCAAUUCAGAACAUCAUUACGUUCUGGAAGCUCCCCCGGGGGUGAGGGGAGUCUGAGAACAGCCAGGGCCAGAACCUGGUCUGCUGAUCCACUGUGGGGGGACCUCUUCUCUCUGUUCCCCUCCUUUCUGGUUGAGCUCACUGCUUUGGAGGCUUCUAACUUCAACUCUCGGGUAUCACCACUCAUACCAAGCUCUUUUCAGAGGCUAGGACAUCAGCAUAUUUGUUUGUUACCUCUGUUCUGGGCUUCUGCACGCACCCCUGCAUUGAAGGGUGGCCCCUAACACCUUUGACGUUUACAUUUUCAAAGUUGACUUAAUUAAAAUUUUUUUAAUGUUUAUUUUUGAGAGAGAGAGAGAGAAACACCGACUGAGCCACCCAGGCACCCCUAAUAUUUUUUUAUAUUAGAAAAUAAUACCAGCUCAUUGCAUCAACCAGUGAAUGGAGGAACCGAAUGAGGCACAGCCACACUGCGGACGGUUACUGGGCAGUAAGAACGAUGAGGUCCUGACACACUACUGAACAGACGAGCCUUAAAGACACAGCUCAGGGAAAGCGGCCAGACCCAAAAGAGCCACGCCGCAGGACUCCCUUUAUGUGAAAUCCACGGAGCUGGAGGGCACAGUGGUGGGCACCAGGGCCUGGCCGGUGGGGGGAAUAGGGAGUGACCGCUUCGUGAGUACGGGGUCUCCAUCUGGAGGGACGCAAGUGUUCUGGAACCAGACAGGGGUGAUGCUUGCAAAACACUGUGAACGCACUCAGUGCCACUGAAUCGUUCACUUUAAAAUGGCUAAUGCGGGGGGCGCCUGGGUGGUUCAGUCAGAUAAGCAUCUGGCUUUGGCUCAGGUCACGAUCUCACGGUCCGUGGGUUCGAGCCCCGCGUCGGGCUCUGUGCUGACAUCUCAGAGCCCGGAGCCUGCUUCGGAUUCUGUGUCUCCCUCUCCCUGUUCCUGCCCCACUGGCACUCCAUCUCUCUCGCUCUCAAAGAUAAAGAUUAAAAAAAUAAAAUAGAGUAAAAUAAAAUAAAUAAAUAUAAAAUAAAAAUAAAAUGGCUAAUUUUAUGCCGGGUAGAUUUCACCUGAAUUAAAAAAAAAAAAAAAAAAAAAAAAGCUACUGCAGGCUCAUGGUUUGUAUGAUGAGUAAAAAUGGAAGAAGUGUGGCCACCGAGGACCGCUGCUGGCAGGGGGUCUCCGGCAGGUGUUGGUGUCCGUGUUCUUGGCCGGGAUGCUGUCCUGCACCUGCCAGUCUCUCCCUGGGGACCGGCACUUUGUUGACCCGGCUGCCCACCAGGAAGGCAGGAUUCCCCACGCUUUCUCCACGCAGAGGCCGCACCUGGCCACUGAGGGCGUCGGCACGGAUGGAACCCGGAACUCACUUUCCCUUUUUAAUGGUAUUCCUGCCCAGCAGCGGGUCCAGCACGGGGUCCACGGUUUCGCCAAUGUUCUCGAUGAGCAAGGUGUGCCCUUCGGAAAUGGCUUGCUCGAUGAUGUCCAGGUAGCUGCGGGACGACAUGGGGGCAUUUAAUGCGGGGGGCUCAGUGACGGCACCGCUGGGUGCCCCAGGGACAGCUGUCAGAGCAAGAAGGCACCUAAAGACGAGCGGCCGAGGGGCCGGCAGUGCAUCCCCUCUGCGACCCGCCUUCCCCGAGGGGCGCUCCCCUCCGGGCCUAUGGGAGCACAGCUCUGUUCUCACUUCUGUGUGUGGCUCCAUGUCCCCAGUGCUCCAGGAAGGCGCACGGGGUGGCCUUAGUGACCGUCUGUAGCAAGGAAGCCAGCCCCGCUAGAGAUAAGAAAUGAGAAAAUGACCAGCCGGAAGCCUCUCGGCCAGCACACGGCCGGGUGGGACGCAGCCCGGGCUGGAGCCCAGGCGAACGCUUCCUGCCCGCAGCUGCGGCGGGUACUGGGGGGAAGAGAGGAGAGCCCCGAGUUUGGUUCUUCACUCUCGCCGCUGUUCCCCAAGGCCAAAUGUGGGAAAACAAAUCCACCUGCAGGCCAGCAUCUGUAUUUCAAGAUCAUCCAUCCGUUUAACAAGGACAAAACACCCCAGGUGACUUUCCCCACACAGGGGCCCAGCGGCCUGUGGCUACGCUUAGAGCCCGCCCCUGCCCCCGCCCCUCCGGCUCCUGCCUGCCGCCAUCGCGCACCUCUUCUGUCCCAGGCGGAUGGCUUUCAGUUCGCGGCCGUAUUUGUUUUUGAUCCACUUGAUUCCUUGCAGCUGGGCGUCCACGAUGAGGGGCCAGCGCUCUGUGUUGCACAGGAUGGUGGCAUUCUCAGUGGACAUGCGGUCACUGGGGAGACCUUGGUUGUUCCAAGUGGCCACGUCCGCGUCAUCGGUCAGUAGGCUCAAGGGGUCCAGACCUUCCGUGAUCGGGAUGGGGACCUGCCAGGGGGGAGCACUAGUUCUCAGAAGAGGUGAUGUGGCCUUACUGCCCCGCGGGAAACGGCUCUCCAAGUGACACGGUAGGUCUGUGGUUAGACCACGGACGAGCCGUGUCGUCUGGAAGACAGCCAAGCGGCUGACAGACCCCCUGGGAACCCGCCAAGAAGGGCAGCAGCACGCUGGGCCACAAUUUAUUUACUUUAGAGCGAGGGCACCAGCAGGUGCACGUGUGAGUAAGCCGGCAGGGGCAGAGAGCGAGAGAGAGAGAGUCCCGGGCAGGCUCCACGCUCGUGGCAGAGCCUGACACGGGGGGCUCAGUCCCACGACCCUGGGAUCAUGACCUGCGGCUGAAAUCAAGAGUCGGAUGCUCAACCAGCUGAGUCACCCAGGAGUCUCUGGGCCACAGUUGAAACCCGCAAUGGCCAGAGCGUCCGUGAGUGUGGCAUUUGGCUGGGUCUGCCCUGCCAGGGGCCUCCCCAAGUUUCCUGAGCCACGAACGCAACCCAACCUCUUACCUUUAACUUAUUGAUAUAAGGGAUCCAAAAUCUCUCCAUCAGCUCGUUGCGGUAUUUCUUGGUGAAGUAGCCCAUGUAGGAGACGAAGGCGGAAAUCAGCAGGACGUCCCCGCACAGGGUGACCCCCUGGCUUUUGAAGUUCUUCACCGACUCAGCCCAGCGGAUGUUUUCCGAUGCCAAUCCCCCUACCAGCCUGAAUGGAAACACGAGGUGGCGACUAGAACACACAAAAUGAUGGGUGUGGCCCCAGUCCCUUUGGACAGCCCUGCUCUGGAAGCCCCGGAAGCCGGCGCCCACACCACGGGCGCUUCUCCUGCGCCUCCGCCAGCUCGGCAUUCGCCUCCUCCAGGGCCUGCCUCUUGGGGGCCACGUCACAAUACACCUCGUAGAAGCGCACGAUGUUGAUGCACCAGGAGCACAGGCCCGCGGCGGCCGUGGACUU